GAUGAACGCUGGUUGCGUGCCUAAUACAUGCAAGUCGAGCGAACGGACGAGAAGCUUGCUUCUCUGAUGUUAGCGGCGGACGGGUGAGUAACACGUGGAUAACCUACCUAUAAGACUGGGAUAACUUCGGGAAACCGGAGCUAAUACCGGAUAAUAUUUUGAACCGCAUGGUUCAAAAGUGAAAGACGGUCUUGCUGUCACUUAUAGAUGGAUCCGCGCUGCAUUAGCUAGUUGGUAAGGUAACGGCUUACCAAGGCAACGAUGCAUAGCCGACCUGAGAGGGUGAUCGGCCACACUGGAACUGAGACACGGUCCAGACUCCUACGGGAGGCAGCAGUAGGGAAUCUUCCGCAAUGGGCGAAAGCCUGACGGAGCAACGCCGCGUGAGUGAUGAAGGUCUUCGGAUCGUAAAACUCUGUUAUUAGGGAAGAACAUAUGUGUAAGUAACUGUGCACAUCUUGACGGUACCUAAUCAGAAAGCCACGGCUAACUACGUGCCAGCAGCCGCGGUAAUACGUAGGUGGCAAGCGUUAUCCGGAAUUAUUGGGCGUAAAGCGCGCGUAGGCGGUUUUUUAAGUCUGAUGUGAAAGCCCACGGCUCAACCGUGGAGGGUCAUUGGAAACUGGAAAACUUGAGUGCAGAAGAGGAAAGUGGAAUUCCAUGUGUAGCGGUGAAAUGCGCAGAGAUAUGGAGGAACACCAGUGGCGAAGGCGACUUUCUGGUCUGUAACUGACGCUGAUGUGCGAAAGCGUGGGGAUCAAACAGGAUUAGAUACCCUGGUAGUCCACGCCGUAAACGAUGAGUGCUAAGUGUUAGGGGGUUUCCGCCCCUUAGUGCUGCAGCUAACGCAUUAAGCACUCCGCCUGGGGAGUACGACCGCAAGGUUGAAACUCAAAGGAAUUGACGGGGACCCGCACAAGCGGUGGAGCAUGUGGUUUAAUUCGAAGCAACGCGAAGAACCUUACCAAAUCUUGACAUCCUUUGACAACUCUAGAGAUAGAGCUUUCCCCUUCGGGGGACAAAGUGACAGGUGGUGCAUGGUUGUCGUCAGCUCGUGUCGUGAGAUGUUGGGUUAAGUCCCGCAACGAGCGCAACCCUUAAGCUUAGUUGCCAUCAUUAAGUUGGGCACUCUAAGUUGACUGCCGGUGACAAACCGGAGGAAGGUGGGGAUGACGUCAAAUCAUCAUGCCCCUUAUGAUUUGGGCUACACACGUGCUACAAUGGACAAUACAAAGGGCAGCGAAACCGCGAGGUCAAGCAAAUCCCAUAAAGUUGUUCUCAGUUCGGAUUGUAGUCUGCAACUCGACUACAUGAAGCUGGAAUCGCUAGUAAUCGUAGAUCAGCAUGCUACGGUGAAUACGUUCCCGGGUCU
RNAcentral lists this ribosomal RNA (1372 nucleotides) under uncultured bacterium. RNAcentral describes it as "bacterial SSU rRNA". It matches the Rfam family "Bacterial small subunit ribosomal RNA", at positions 28 to 1381 of the family's 1533-position model. The record is from RNAcentral.